UUUCAAUUAAAGAUUAGCAAAUAUAAUCAAACAUCAAUCAAAUUCAAUCAAAAUUUCAAAGGAAUUAUGUAAAAAGUAAAAAAUAUUCCUAAAGACCCUUUAAAGAACCAUAAAGAAUUAAUUUAGAAAUUCAAAAAUAUACUAAAAUAGAAACCUUAAUAAAAUAUUAAAAUAGAAAUUGAAUUAAAUCCUAGUCGAAAUCUAAUCAAAUUUUAGUCAAAUUCUAGUUAAAUCCUAAUCAAACCUUAUAUAAAUCCUAGUCAAAUCCUAAAAAAUCUUAAUCAAAUCCUAAUCAAAUUCAAAAUAAAUCUUAAUCAAAUCCUAAUCAAAUCUUAAAUAAAUCCUAAUCAAAUCCUAAUCAAAUCCUAAAUAAACCUUAACCAAACUUCAAUCAAAUCCUAAACAAACCAUAAAUAAAUCCUAACCAAAUCCUAAAAAAAUCCUAAAAAAAUUUUAAACAAAACUUAAACAAAUCCUAAAAAAAUCCUUAAAAAAUCUUAAAUAAAUCCUAACCAAAUCUUAAACAAAUCCUAACCUAAUCCUAAAUAAAUCCUAAUCAAAUCCUAAACAAAUCUUAAUUAAAUCCUAAUCAAAAUCUUAAAAAAUCUUAAUCAAAUCCUAAACAAAUCCUAA
RNAcentral lists this long non-coding RNA (633 nucleotides) under Physcomitrium patens. RNAcentral's name for it is "long non-coding RNA (PPAT_LNC002271)". Lineage: Eukaryota; Viridiplantae; Streptophyta; Bryopsida; Funariales; Funariaceae. The record is from RNAcentral.